AGAACGAACGCUGGCGGCAUGCCUAAUACAUGCAAGUCGAACGAACACUUCGGUGUUAGUGGCGCACGGGUGCGUAACGCGUGGGAAUCUGCCCUUGGGUUCGGAAUAACAGUUGGAAACGACUGCUAAUACCGGAUGAUAUCGAAAGAUCAAAGAUUUAUCGCCCAGGGAUGAGCCCGCGUAGGAUUAGCUAGUUGGUGAGGUAAAGGCUCACCAAGGCGACGAUCCUUAGCUGGUCUGAGAGGAUGAUCAGCCACACUGGGACUGAGACACGGCCAGACCUCGUACGGGAGGCAGCAGUAGGGAAUAGUUGGACAAGUGGGCGCGAAGCCUAGACUCCAGACAAUGGACCGCGUUGAGUG
This 362-nucleotide ribosomal RNA is filed under the name uncultured soil bacterium. RNAcentral describes it as "bacterial SSU rRNA". It matches the Rfam family "Bacterial small subunit ribosomal RNA", at positions 26 to 408 of the family's 1533-position model. The record is from RNAcentral.